GCCUAGUUAGCUUGGAGGGUAGCGCGUCUGCCUUGCAAGCACAAGGACUUGGGUUCGAUUCCCGUCCGGGGCG
This 73-nucleotide transfer RNA is filed under the name Diaphorina citri (Asian citrus psyllid). It matches the Rfam family "tRNA". Rfam says of the family: Transfer RNA (tRNA) molecules are approximately 80 nucleotides in length. Their secondary structure includes four short double-helical elements and three loops (D, anti-codon, and T loops). Lineage: Eukaryota; Metazoa; Arthropoda; Insecta; Hemiptera; Psyllidae. The record is from Rfam by way of RNAcentral.